Gallus gallus (chicken) is the source of this 3433-nucleotide long non-coding RNA. The record is from Ensembl. NCBI's taxonomy places the organism in Eukaryota, Metazoa, Chordata, Aves, Galliformes, Phasianidae.
CCUGUCCGCGGGGCGCGCCCGUCCCGUCCCAUCCCGUCCCGGGGCUGUUCGCCUCGCGCCUGCCCGGCUGUCCCCCCGGGGGUCCCGGCUCAGAUCUAGACGCAGUUCCAGGCAAAGCCUGCCGGUCCUGCGGCUCUGCUGACACAGGGCUCCCAGUCCGCAGCGUGCACAUCACUUCUUCACCACCUUCCUCAGAACUGUCUGUGAGAGCUGUCCGAAGCGCUGAACACUGCCCUCUGCUAUGUACAUGUGCUCCUGCAGUCGUAGAAUCGUAGAAUCAUUAAGGUGCUUCCUCCCGGAGCCGGGGAUGCUUGGCUGGAGGAUGCCGUGCAGCGUCCGUGCUGAGAACCCCAUUUCUGUAUGGUGUCAGUGCUGGGCUUCCACCUGCAGCCCCCCAAUGACCUGUGGGGCCACAGUUCCCAUCUGCAGUGAAUGCAUCCCCGUGUGCAUCCCCACACCUCCCAGCUGAUGUCUGCAGGACUGAUAUACAAUCAACCCCUGGGCCGCCUUAUGGGAGGCGAGCGGUUCGGUUCAUUUUGAUGUAAAUUACUAUGAGAACUCUGAGCAAAGGGCAAAAUUAAAGUCUCAUUUUAAUUUUUCCAUAUCUGGUUCAAAGCAACGCCUUUUAGAGCAACCUAUAAAUGGGCACCCGGGUGGGAGCCCCCAGAGGGACGUCCUCUGUUGGUGUCAGUGACGUGUGAGGUGAAUCCAGUUCUGUACCAUCUGGAUGGAAACAUGUGCCCUGAUCCCAUAAAGGCACCUUCAUACCCAGCCUGACUAAUGGCUCUGUUGGCAUUCUGUGGCAUUCAGACCAGGGAAAAUUACUGAGCAGAUAUUUACUAUAUUGUCAAAUUUAUUUUGAACUCUUCAUGUGGGCCUCUCACCACCUCUCUGCUCAGUUAUGCAAUCUUGAAAACCACAAAUUAAAGCCUCUAAACAGACGCAAUAACAAAUUGUGGUAGCUCUGAAGAAACCCCCAGGAAAAAAUAUUGAUCUCUCAAAGCGACCUCUUCAAACUCUGCUGACAGACAAAAGCCUGAGUAAACACAUGGGUUUGCAACCCCGAAUAUCAACAAACUUUGCUCUGCUGGAUCAGAGAGGGCUGUUCCGAGGCAGAAAAAAGCAUUCAGUCUUAUGGAGAGCGCUUAUAACUGUGCAGGGACUGUGGAAUUGACUUUUUCUCUGUUCCCUGGGAACAACUUUGCUUUAUUUUUAUAGCUUGAAGAAAACUCUUGGAUUGGUGUUUCGUAUUUGGCUGUGGAUGGAGCAGGGUGUGGAGGCAUUUUGCUACAGUGGCCCCACUGCUGCACCUUCCUGCCAUAGGAAAAUGCAGAUAUGCUGUGGGGUGCAGCAGGCUGCUGCUGCAGCACAACGAAACGGGGGCUCUGUGUGGCCCUACAACCCACGCGCUGACGCGUUCAGGCCAAGCACGGCGUUUGUUUGCAGCUAUACAAGUGGGAAAGGGUGAAAUUCCGCCUUGGGUUUCGGGGAGGUUUGAAGAUGUGCCACCGCCAUUCGCAGGUUGGUGUGGCGCUGGAUGUGUUUUGGGAUCACUCUCCCUGCACACCGCAAUGGCCGUGCAUCCCAGCAGGGCGCGGGGAUGGGUUGGGCACCCGAAGGCACUGCGUCUUUCUAGGAAUCCCAACUGCUGCUGCUGCUAACGUGGGAACCCCGUCCUCCUGCUUGCCGAAGGGAUGAUGGCGUGUAUUCUAUAAGAGACAAGAUUUACAAUGGCACAUUUGUCUGUGGGUUGUUUUCACUCUUCUGCACACAGCCCGCGGCUCAGCGGUCGGUGACCUUGCCCCUGCAGACGUCCGUGUGUGUCUGCACGCGUGCACACAGAGCUCACAGCAUUUUCCUUCAUGAGAACUCAGUGGCUGUAGUUUUUCUUGAUUUGAUAAGUGCAAUUAAUAACACUUCAACAUUUCUUUCCACAAACAGGAGCUACUGAGUAAAUUCGGCGACUUAUAAAAACAAAACCUCAAAAAAAAAAAAAAAAAAAGCCGAAAUUAAAAACAUUGGGUGUGCUUUGAUGUAGAGGAUGUGUCGAAAUGGUAUAUUUCUAUGUUUAUUUUUGCAUUUUACAAUUUCCCGGGCAAAGGCAAGCAAUGCUUUCUGACAGGAAACAAAACCUACUUUGGAAGGGUUCCACCUGUCGUGUCAGCCGAGCUCCGUGUCGGCCAGGUGCUUGAGCUGGACUUCAUUGGGGGAGAUGAAAAACCUCCAGCGGGGCUUGGAUCGAGCCUUGAUGUAUGAAUGGAACCAUCCCACCUCUUGUGAGUGGCCACCCAUUGCCAGCGGCUGCAGCGGGGCAUUGCUCGCCUGUCUGGGAUCUGCAAGAAGUAAACGCCACGUGGCUGAAGUCUGGGGUGGGUGAACACUGUUGGCGGUUGUUUGCUCUCAGUGACACCUCUGCAGAGAGGUUACCAUGGGCUGGAGGCUGUGCAUGGCUCUAGUACUGAUUUCCCUCAUAGCCUUUCAUCGCUUUCAAAUGACAGCUCUUUUCCUCCCUCCUGUUUUCUGUUUAUAAAUAUACACGACUCAAAAAACCCAAGCAGAGUCAAGGAGUGAGCUGGUUCUUUGGGAACUGAAGGAAACAGGAGAGCCCUGCACUGCAGCCAGGUCACCAGCAGAGCUGUGGCCUUGGUUCUCCUACCCCACCCCAGCAUUUUUGCCUUUGAGUACAUGACAAGUAUGACAUACGUGCCAAAAAAGUUCCCUGCAUUUAAGCUUUUUACUUCUCCUGGCCCACCCUGCCCCCUUUUGACUGAUUCUGGGUUGAACUGGAGAGGAAUUGGUCAUUUUGGAGGGAAGACUGAUUCCAGAACUACAAUGCAGCACUCAGCUCUCACCCAAAGUGAAGACAUCUCCUGAGCCUGUGAGCCAGCAUGACCCAGUGACAGUCCCCUGAUGUGUUGCGUUCAUAGAAUCAGAGAUUCGUCUCACUUGGAAGGGACCUUUAAACGCCACCUGGUCCAUCCUGGUGCACUGAACAGGGACACCCACAGCUCCAUCAGCUGCUCAGAGCCCCGUCCAGCCUGACCUUGGCUGUCUCCAGGUAUGGGGCAUCCACCACCUCUCUGGGCAACCUGUGCCAGUCCUCAUCGCCCUUAUUGUUAAAAACUUUUUCCUUAUAUCCAGACUAAAUCUCCCCUCUUUUAGUUUGAAACCGUUUCCCCUUGCGCUAUCACUACAGACUCCACUAAAGAGUCUGUCCCCUUCUUUCCUAUAGCCCCUCUUUAUAGCAGGUUCCUGCACCUGUCUCCACACUACUGCCUGCAAGUGCCACACUGUGCCAGCAGCCGGGCAGCUGUGAUAAUAAACCAUAUCGCCUCUGGAGAGAGGGCAUUCUGCUGGAUGUCUUUCUUUUAAUUAUUAUUAUUUUUUUAUUUUAAAUGUGGGUAGAUGUGGCACUGAGGGACAUGGUUAGUGG